Molecule: unclassified non-coding RNA, 172 nt
Filed under: Basidiomycota sp.
Lineage: Eukaryota; Fungi; Basidiomycota
Description: partial internal transcribed spacer 1
Source: RNAcentral
AGUUAUUGAUUGAAUGAGCCGUGGUGGAAUCGAACCACCAACCUACUGAUUAAGAGUCAGUUGCUCUGCCAGUUGAGCUAACGGCCCGCGACCAGAAAAUAUAGCAUGCGGGGAGGGUGCUUUAAAGACACGAAUGUUGUGAGCUUGUCCCGGCGGUAAAAGUUUGAGUGAU